RNAcentral lists this unclassified non-coding RNA (240 nucleotides) under soil metagenome. RNAcentral's name for it is "partial contains 5.8S ribosomal RNA, internal transcribed spacer 2, and large subunit ribosomal RNA". The record is from RNAcentral.
AACCAUAGAAACCUGCGGAGUACCUGCGGAGGGAUCAUUAUAGUAUAUGGAAUCUCCAUUCUAUAAACCCACUCUGCGUAUCUUGCAACUGUUGCUUCCAUGGGACUUGGUUCCGCCACACCGGCUUCACGGCUGGUGAGCGCCCAUGGAAGGAGAAACAAAACUCUUCUUUGAAAUGUAGUCAGUCUGAACAAGUUUUUAUAAACGUUAAAACUUUUAGCAACGGAUCUCAGAUCGGAA